This is a long non-coding RNA of Homo sapiens (human), 369 nucleotides long. The record is from Ensembl. Lineage: Eukaryota; Metazoa; Chordata; Mammalia; Primates; Hominidae.
GCAAUGCAGUGAUUGCUGCACCCAGAGCCUGUUCCUCUCCCAACUCCUUGAAAUUCUCAGCUCCUUCCUCAAGUCCCUGCUCCUAUGAAUUGGUUACACCUCCAUCAUGCUGCAAAAAUUAAUUUUGUUAUACACCUGUGUCAUUCAGAGCUACCAUUCCUGAAGCUUUUGGUCCUGCUCCAACAGUGGCGUUUGCAAUCCAGGACUGUCAUGCAGUUUCCAUCGUUAUCUUCUGUGGAGUUCUUCAUUCCCACAUCUGUGGACCUUAAAAUCCUACGGUUGAGUGCCUGCCUUGGAUCAGCAGUCGGUUCGUUACCUUGGUUCUCAGACGAUGCUUGCAACAACGCCAUGCGAUUCGCCCACUCUUGG